Molecule: ribosomal RNA, 1397 nt
Filed under: Salmonella enterica subsp. enterica serovar Agona str. 246555-3
Lineage: Bacteria; Pseudomonadati; Pseudomonadota; Gammaproteobacteria; Enterobacterales; Enterobacteriaceae
Also listed under: 1 other name
Description: bacterial LSU rRNA
Rfam family: Bacterial large subunit ribosomal RNA
Source: RNAcentral
GGUUAAGCGACUAAGCGUACACGGUGGAUGCCCUGGCAGUCAGAGGCGAUGAAGGGCGUGCUAAUCUGCGAUAAGCGCCGGUAAGGUGAUAUGAACCGUUAUAACCGGCGAUACCCGAAUGGGGAAACCCAGUGUGACUCGUCACACUAUCAUUAACUGAAUCCAUAGGUUAAUGAGGCGAACCGGGGGAACUGAAACAUCUAAGUACCCCGAGGAAAAGAAAUCAACCGAGAUUCCCCCAGUAGCGGCGAGCGAACGGGGAGGAGCCCAGAGCCUGAAUCAGCAUGUGUGUUAGUGGAAGCGUCUGGAAAGACGCGCGAUACAGGGUGACAGCCCCGUACACAAAAGCGUAUGUGCUGUGAGCUCGAUGAGUAGGGCGGGACACGUGGUAUCCUGUCUGAAUAUGGGGGGACCAUCCUCCAAGGCUAAAUACUCCUGACUGACCGAUAGUGAACCAGUACCGUGAGGGAAAGGCGAAAAGAACCCCGGCGAGGGGAGUGAAAAAGAACCUGAAACCGUGUACGUACAAGCAGUGGGAGCACAGGUUUACCUGUGUGACUGCGUACCUUUUGUAUAAUGGGUCAGCGACUUAUAUUCUGUAGCAAGGUUAACCGAAUAGGGGAGCCGGAGGGAAACCGAGUCUUAAUUGGGCGUUAAGUUGCAGGGUAUAGACCCGAAACCCGGUGAUCUAGCCAUGGGCAGGUUGAAGGUUGGGUAACACUAACUGGAGGACCGAACCGACUAAUGUUGAAAAAUUAGCGGAUGACCUGUGGCUGGGGGUGAAAGGCCAAUCAAACCGGGAGAUAGCUGGUUCUCCCCGAAAGCUAUUUAGGUAGCGCCUCGUGAAUUCAUCUCCGGGGGUAGAGCACUGUUUCGGCUAGGGGGUCAUCCCGACUUACCAACCCGAUGCAAACUGCGAAUACCGGAGAAUGUUAUCACGGGAGACACACGGCGGGUGCUAACGUCCGUCGUGAAGAGGGAAACAACCCAGACCGCCAGCUAAGGUCCCAAAGUCAUGGUUAAGUGGGAAACGAUGUGGGAAGGCCCAGACAGCCAGGAUGUUGGCUUAGAAGCAGCCAUCAUUUAAAGAAAGCGUAAUAGCUCACUGGUCGAGUCGGCCUGCGCGGAAGAUGUAACGGGGCUAAACCAUGCACCGAAGCUGCGGCAGCGACACUCAGGUGUUGUUGGGUAGGGGAGCGUUCUGUAAGCCUGCGAAGGUGGCCUGUGAGGGUUGCUGGAGGUAUCAGAAGUGCGAAUGCUGACAUAAGUAACGAUAAAGCGGGUGAAAAGCCCGCUCGCCGGAAGACCAAGGGUUCCUGUCCAACGUUAAUCGGGGCAGGGUGAGUCGACCCCUAAGGCGAGGCCGAAAGGCGUAGUCGAUGGGAAACGGGUUAAUA